AGGUUGUGGCUCAGUGGUAGAGCGCUCACUUAGCACGCGUGAGUCACUGGGUUUGAUUCUCAGCACCACCUA
RNAcentral lists this transfer RNA (72 nucleotides) under Marmota monax (woodchuck). Its description in RNAcentral is "tRNA.Ala". It matches the Rfam family "tRNA". From Rfam's summary of the family: Transfer RNA (tRNA) molecules are approximately 80 nucleotides in length. Their secondary structure includes four short double-helical elements and three loops (D, anti-codon, and T loops). Lineage: Eukaryota; Metazoa; Chordata; Mammalia; Rodentia; Sciuridae. The record is from RNAcentral.